Molecule: ribosomal RNA, 495 nt
Filed under: uncultured bacterium
Lineage: Bacteria
Description: bacterial SSU rRNA
Rfam family: Bacterial small subunit ribosomal RNA
Source: RNAcentral
AACGAACGCUGGCGGCAGGCUUAACACAUGCAAGUCGAACGGGCAUAGCAAUAUGUCAGUGGCAGACGGGUGAGUAACGCGUGGGAAUCUACCCUUUUCUACGGAAUAACGCAGGGAAACUUGUGCUAAUACCGUAUAAGCCCCCCUUUAAAAUACCAGGAAGGUUUGGAUGUCCUGGGAUUUCGUGGGGGGGAAAGAUUUAUCGGGAAAGGAUGAGCCCGCGUUGGAUUAGCUAGUUGGUGGGGUAAAGGCCUACCAAGGCGACGAUCCAUAGCUGGUCUGAGAGGAUGAUCAGCCACAUUGGGACUGAGACACGGCCCAAACUCCUACGGGAGGCAGCAGUGGGGAAUAUUGGACAAUGGGCGCAAGCCUGAUCCAGCCAUGCCGCGUGAGUGAUGAAGGCCCUAGGGUUGUAAAGCUCUUUCACCGAUGAAGAUAAUGACGGUAGUCGGAGAAGAAGCCCCGGCUAACUUCGUGCCAGCAGCCGCGGUAAGA